AGCGCAACAUCUAAUUGGUGCACGUGUAUUUAGCCACAAAGAAUGACCGAUUUCUUUUGGGAUAUAUCUCGUUUGGUGUGGAAAAGAAGCAGGAGAGAAAGUGCUUCGUAAGCCCCAUGUGUUUCUGGGUGAGCGGGAAGCAUCAGAAGAAGGAACGAGUCUGUAAUAUCCGGUGAGAGUAUGUGCCAGAGUGGUGGUAAAAAAUCAGUAGGUGGCGAUAAUGCACCUUUUCGUAGGUCUGCCAAACCGCCAUAAAACACCACAAGAAGAAGAAGAAGAAGAAGAGGAGGAUGGGGUGGAAAGGAGUGGGCGAUAUUUCUCUGAAGGUACUGUUGGGAUAUCAGUAGGUGGCGGUAAUGCAUCUUUCGUUGGUCUGCCAAACCGUCUGAAAGAAUUUAGCUGUGAGUCCAAACAGACCAAGAUGGGGGCGUGUCGCUUCAGAUUUUGGGAUUCGGUAGAAAUUUCUUCACUAACUGCAAGUUGAUUCACUCAGAACAAGCUUGCACACCGAUAAACAUUACUAGAUAUCGGUCACAACAACAGAGAGGGACUUUCAACUCCCUCGGGAAAUCGCUCGAACACCGUGGACCGCUGAUCCAGCUCGGCCAGCAGCGAGACCCCUGCGCCAGCGCCUAGACCGUAAACAAAGGAGGGGGAAGCGAGGGAGCAUUAUGGCUAGACUAAGGCUUAAUCCACAUCAACAAUCUCUCCCAAGCAUAUUCCUUGCUAAUGUACGGUCUCUGGUGAACUAAAUGGAUGAACUGCUGCUCCGGAUAACAUCACACAAGCGGAUUAAGGAAUGUAAUGUCAUGAUUUUUAUUGAUUUUCGGGGAUCGCAGUGUUUUCCGGGCGGACAGGACGGCAGGGGUGGAGGUCUGUGUAUUUACGUUAACAAAUCAAAAACGCUUUUGCGAAUUUCUGGCCGGAACUCGUCAGGGAGCUGCUGCAGGUUUUACUGAAAUGAUUGGUGGAACCCAUUUGCUCAUGGUGAACUCUAUUAUGUGCAAAAAACUGUUGAACUGGAACAUUGGAUUGGGUUGGAACAUGGAAGGCAGUGGAUUCCCCACCCAGUGAAACCCUUCACAAAAGUCCACCAUGUGACUGCAUCAGGCCAAAAGUCCAAAAUCUCUAUUCCUCCAUUCCUGACUGAGAAGUGACAUAAUAUUACUAAAUAGAUUUGGGCAAUGACUGCUAAUAAAAACACAAAUAAUUAACUUCAAAUGAGUUUUUUUUAAAUAACAAAUACAGUUUCAUUUAGUAAAAAUGUAACAAAAAAACUCCAUGACGAAUCCCCCUAAAAACAAAUUUAAAUAUAGUAAUCAAAUUUUUUCCCUCAGUAUGUGGACAGCAGCAGAGUCACUGCACUACAACAUACUUACAUUUCUGUAGAUUAGUUUUCAGAAAUAUUCAUUCUUUUUACGAAAUCUGUUAUUUUCUCUAUAAGAAAACACACAUUUCAUAAGAAACCAUACUGAUAGCAAAUAUCAUAUAUAAAAUUUACUACUUUUCACACAGGUUUAAACUCGUGAAAUUUCUAAUUUGUGUUUGUGAAAUAUAUAUAUAUAUAUAUAAUUUUCGCAUUAAUGUUCAAAAACUAUUAUCCAAUUAUGGAACUGAUAAUUAUGAUGCAAAACGAGUAUGAAAUUUGAUCCAGAAAUGUAAAAAUAGACACAUUAGAAGAUUAAGAGCUUUAAUUAUAUGAUAUGCAGACAAUUAAGUUUCAUUCUGUUGUACUGAACCUGUUUUUUUUUUUUUUUUUUCCUUCUUCUUAUGUACAAUGUGCCUCGAUCAUUAGAAUAGUGCUUACAAUUAUUUUUUAUUUAAUUUUUUAUUUUUGGUGAAGCUACAAAAAAAUGUAUUACCUCUGGUUUGACCUCCAGCAACUCCAGAGCGAAAUGUACGCAGUUGUAUUUAAGGAGAUCAUACUUUUUAUUUCUCCUCAGUGCUGCACUCACUCGUUCUUGGAAAUCAUGGGGGAUCCCCGCUACUUUUCGAAAAACGAUGUAUUUGUCGCCUUCAUAGAACACGUUUUUUUUUUCUCUCGACACGCCUCCUAUACCUGAAGGGGAGCGGGAGGAUGUGUUGUUCUGCUGGAAAAAAAAAAAAAAAGAUAUGGUAUUUAAUGUUAUAUAGUAUUAUAAAUAGUUGUUUGUUUUUCUAUGUUUAUUGUGAUGCUACAGGAAUGAAGGGGGCUGAGAUAGACAGAAGCAUUUGUCAGAGUUGUUGAAUAGACAGAGUAGUUGUCAUUUAUAUUAAACAUUACAUGAAGAGUUAGGGAUUUACGUGUAAAAUGGAUGAUGUUCUGGUCCACAUCAGAAAAAUAAACACCAGCAUGAUAUCCAGUGGCUGACACCACGCAUUGGCUGUGUCUUGGGACCAGGAUCAGGUCUCCAAUUUUAAGUUGUUCUUUCAGUUCCUGAUCCUCUUGUUUGAUGACUUUAAACCCUUCAGGUGUUUUUCCAAGGCCGAUCCUAAUCGUGCUCUACAAAAGAAUUUACCCAACACAGGGAAUAUUGUCAGCUAAAAGUGUAAAACUGUGACUAAGGGUUGUGCAUUAACACAAACAUUCAUAAUAUGUCUAAUCAUGUCUACUUAUUUCUUUUAAUGUAUUUUAUUUUAAUACAUAUUUAUUUAAACAAAUCCUGCUUUAGAUACGUAAACAACUACAGCAAUAAAAUGUUAAAUUGUAUAAAUAAUAAAAUCUAUAAUGUAGCAUUCUGUACUAUCUUCUUAACAUCAAUAAAACAAAGUACAUUUUCAUACUGAA
Long non-coding RNA from Silurus meridionalis, 2767 nucleotides. RefSeq lists it as uncharacterized. The transcript is spliced from 5 exons. NCBI's taxonomy places the organism in Eukaryota, Metazoa, Chordata, Actinopteri, Siluriformes, Siluridae. The record is from RefSeq and is a predicted model, not a curated record.